GUCGAAAACCUGCCCCUUCCUUUCGUUGCUACGGACUGCAGUGUGUAGUGUGCCAUCAGGGCUCUCAUCUGUGUAACAUGGCAGUUUAAUUUAGCCCCGAUCGGAGAGCCAGCUGCUGCUGUCACAACUAUUAAAGAAGCUAUAUGAUGUUCCUAUGUGCCGUCAUGAGUAUUAUGUCAUUGGAUCACGGGUCCUUGAUCUUGCAUGCAUUAAGGCAAGCUGAGUGAGUGCGGUUGUUUUGGUAUAGCUCCUCCCCUUACUCGCGGAGCCACGUUGCUGCUUUGAGGCUGCUUGAUUGAUUGGUUUUGUUGCUUCAGUUUGUUUUGCCUUUUACUUUGUGCUUGUUUGUGUUUUGAUUUGCUUUAUUUUGUUGUGCUUUUUGUUAUUUUGUUUUGUGUUGGUUACUGUCACUAACAUCAGUUUUCUUUAAUUCAACUGUGUUGUAACAGUCUGUAUCAAUUAUGCUGAUACUGCUAUGCGGUAGUAGUGGUUUUGGUCAGCUUUGGUAAACUUGCUACCUGCAAUCAGUUUGAGUGUGUGGUUCUCUGUGUUUUUGUUACAGUAAUUUUGUCUUUGUUUUGUUUUAUCCACUUUGUUUGUUUGCUUUGAGCUUAUUGUAAUUGAUUGUGUGUUUUCUCCUUGUAGGAGCUGAGUGCGUCCUGAGGCUUGGGGGGGGGGUUCUUUGCUGCAUCUUUGGUUUUACUUAAUUAAGGGUCGUCAUUAUUGCUGUGUUUAUUUGCAGUGAAUUUUGUGGGUCAUACAAGCCUGUAGCCUUUAGUGCUGUCGUACUAGCCUGCCCUUCAUACAGGAAGCCUCAGUCCUCCUAUGAUUAUUGUUAACUUCCUUUUGUGACUGUUUUAUUUGACCAAUGCCUGACUGUGUUGGUUGCUUCUUUUAAAAUAAUUAUUGGCCAGUCUUUUUAACUUCAAAAUAAAAUGUAUUUUUGUAUGGAAACCCAUGCCUCUUGCCUGUUCUAAGUGGCAGUGUUACGCCACGGCCAGCAGAGGGCACUGCGGU
Long non-coding RNA from Ictalurus punctatus (channel catfish), 1017 nucleotides. RefSeq lists it as uncharacterized. NCBI's taxonomy places the organism in Eukaryota, Metazoa, Chordata, Actinopteri, Siluriformes, Ictaluridae. The transcript is spliced from 3 exons. The record is from RefSeq and is a predicted model, not a curated record.